Bos indicus x Bos taurus (hybrid cattle) is the source of this 119-nucleotide ribosomal RNA. The record is from Ensembl. Lineage: Eukaryota; Metazoa; Chordata; Mammalia; Artiodactyla; Bovidae.
UUCUAAGGCCAUAGCACCCUGAACGCGCCCUAUCUCGUCUGAUCUCGGAAGCUAAGCAGGGUCGGGCCUGGUUAGUACUUGGGUGGGAGACAGCCUGGGCAUACCGGGUGCUGUAGGCU